Molecule: ribosomal RNA, 975 nt
Filed under: Deladenus cf. laricis 103G7
Lineage: Eukaryota; Metazoa; Nematoda; Chromadorea; Rhabditida; Sphaerulariidae
Description: bacterial SSU rRNA
Rfam family: Eukaryotic small subunit ribosomal RNA
Source: RNAcentral
UAAGCCAUGCAUGUCUAAGUACAGACGUUUAUAACGUGAAACCGCGAACGGCUCAUUAAAUCAGCUAUUAUCUACUUGAUAUUGAUUUAAAGAUACAUGGAUAACUGUGGUAAUUCUAGAGCUAAUACAUGCACAAAUGCUCUGACCUUUACCGGGAAGAGUGCAUUUAUUGGAGCAAAACCAAGGCUUCGGCCCUGUAUUGCUGACUCAGAAUAACUCUUAGCUGAUCGCACGGUCUUGCACCGGCGACGUAUCCUAUGAGUAUCUGCCUUAUCAACUUUCGAUGGUAGUGUAUUUGACUACCAUGGUGUUGACGGGUAACGGAGAAUAAGGGUUCGACUCCGGAGAAGGGGCCUGAGAAAUGGCCACUACGUCUAAGGAUGGCAGCAGGCGCGCAAAUUACCCACUCUCGGAAAGAGGAGGUAGUGACGAGAAAUAACGAGACCGUUCUCUAUGAGGCCGGUUAUCGUAAUGGGUUAAACUUAAACCCUUUAACGAUGAACUAUGAGAGGGCAAGUCUGGUGCCAGCAGCCGCGGUAAUUCCAGCUCUCAAAAUGCAUAGAACCAUUGUUGCGGUUAAAAAGCUCGUAGUUGAAUCUGUGCCGGGGACGCGGUCGCCUCAUUGAGUGCGCACUGUGCUCUCCGGUGUUAAACGCCGGUCUUCUCGUUGUCGCCUUAACCGGUGGCGGCGGGUGGCUGGCAAAUUUACUUUGAAUAAAUCAGAUGGCUCAAUCAAGGCGUUUUGCCUGUAUGUUUUUGCAUGGAAUAAUGGAACAGGACUUCGGUCUAGUUUUGUUGGUUUUAUUGACCGUAGUAAUGAUUAACAGGGACAAACGGGGGCAUUCGUAUUGUUACGCGAGAGGUGAAAUUCUAGGACCGUAGCAAGACGACCUACAGCGAAAGCAAUUGCCAAGUUUGUCUUCAUUAAUCAAGAACGAAAGUCAGAGGAUCGAAGGUGAUCAGAUACCGCCCUAG